GGAAAGGUAAUUUUUUAUUUUACAAGCUUAGGGGUCACAAGACAAUUUACAAAGCUCAAAAGGUUUACAAAUGAUUCAAUGUUGUGCAUUAGGGGUGGUCAUUUGGUCAAGUAGUUUCAUUUCACAAAACAAUAAUUGUUUUUCUCAUUUCCAAACAAGUGUGUGUAUGCAUUUAAAAGAAUCAUGUAAAAAUCAACUUCAUAACAAUAACAAUUUUCUUACUUACUUUAUAUAUACAUUAUCAUCACACUGAAAUAUUCAAUCCUCUUGGUCAUAAUAAAAAAGGAUAAAGAAUGAAUCAUAUUGCAACC
This 311-nucleotide long non-coding RNA is filed under the name Vigna radiata. Its description in RNAcentral is "long non-coding RNA (VRAD_LNC005013)". The record is from RNAcentral. Lineage: Eukaryota; Viridiplantae; Streptophyta; Magnoliopsida; Fabales; Fabaceae.